AGAACUUCUGACAGGAUUAGGGAAAUGUAAGUCUAGCGACCAAACCAGGACGCGGUGGGCAGGCUCACGGCAGCAUCCUCCACUCAGCGUGGCUUCCUUCCGGCCCCGUCAUCACUUGUGAGCUGUGGGCCUUGCAGCGGGAUUGGGGCUUUCACCCAGUUUUCUUCCUUGAGUCUAAGUGAGGAUUGCUCGGUAGACAUUAGAAUCCACAAGCAUAAAAGAUACAGUAUUUUAAAGAAAAAAGAUGGACGUAUGGCCCAACGAAGAAUUUUUUCUGAUUUGUGGAUUUGCAGCUGGGGCCCCAACCCGCUGGGCCUCCUGGACAGUGUGGACACACCCCACGGCUGCCUCUCCUGAAGGCAAGGAUGCUGGGCAUGCUGGCUCUUGGUAGCUGCUUUAGUGGCUGCUCCUAGCGGUGUCACCUGCCCUGCACUUCUGGCAUGUUACAAGCAUGAAACAGAGCAAACAAAGCUCUUGGUGGGGAACCUCGGGUGCCUGGAGUAUAGACCUUCAGAGGGUUCUGGAAGGACCACUCCCGAAAGCCUCUGAGCAGCAGCAUCCUCUAUGCACCCGUGUAAGAGAGCAGGCUGCCUGGUUUUUAUGGGGUGCCACAAUCUCCCCAGCUACCAACGUACGAGAUGAUCCUAGAGAUAACCAGAGGCACCAUGGACUGGCUGGUUCACCAUGGUACCAUGGAUUAGUUUGGCUGCAUUUAAAGCUGGCCCCAGUCCGAGGAAAGAGACAGACGUCUGCCUGGCCUCUGCUGUCACCUUCAGAGCAGGGUUGCUCUGUUUUUCUAACAGCUGGUUGGAUUCAUCUAGAUAAUUUCCACUCCGCCUUUUUGUCAGCAGAUCUCUUUAGCUGCAGUUUUGACCCUAGGUCUCCAGUUUACCACUCACCAAGAUGAAAAGUGGUAGUGUAUUUUUCUGUCAGCCAGCCCAGAGGCUGCCAGCGGUGCCCCUCGGCUGGGGGCUUUGACCUUGGAUGUCAGCGAGAGAUGACCCACAGGGCAGCAAGCAAGGGGCAGUGUUGCUCUCUUGCUUCCUUCUUAUUUCUCAUGCUGUCUGGGAGUUUUCAUAAAUUCAACCUAGCUUAAAAUCGUGUACAUCAUGUUUAUGUGCAGAAUAAAAAACUUACACUGUGUUGAUAACUUAGUUUACAGUUUACACUGAU
Cercocebus atys (sooty mangabey) is the source of this 1173-nucleotide long non-coding RNA. RefSeq lists it as uncharacterized. The record is from RefSeq and is a predicted model, not a curated record. The transcript is spliced from 3 exons. NCBI's taxonomy places the organism in Eukaryota, Metazoa, Chordata, Mammalia, Primates, Cercopithecidae.